RNAcentral lists this ribosomal RNA (483 nucleotides) under uncultured bacterium. RNAcentral's name for it is "partial 16S ribosomal RNA". It matches the Rfam family "Bacterial small subunit ribosomal RNA", at positions 28 to 507 of the family's 1533-position model. The record is from RNAcentral.
GACGAACGCUGGCGGCGUGCUUAACACAUGCAAGUCGAACGCUGAAGCUCAGCUUUUGUUGGGUGGAUGAGUGUCGAACGGGUUAGUAACACGUGAGUAACCUGCCCCCUUCUUUGGGAUAACGCCCGGAAACGUGUUCUCAUACUGGAUAUUCACUGGUCUUCUCAUGGGGGUUGGUGGAAAGGGUUUUUCUGGUGGGGGAGGGGCUCGUUGUCUAUCAGCUUGUUGGUUGGGUGAUGGCCUACCCCGGCUUUGACGGGUAGCUGGCCUGAGACGGUGACCGGUCACAUUGGGACGUAGAUACGGCCCAGACUGCUACGGGAGGCAGCAGUGGGGAAGAUAGCACGAUGAGCGCAAGCCUGAUGCAGCGUCGUCGCGUGGGGGAUGGUGUCCUUCGUGUUGUGAGCCUCUUUCGCGCAUGGUCAAGCCGCAACAAUGGUUGUGGUGAGGGUAGUGGGUAAAGAAGCGCCGGCUAACUACGUG